CAGAGAGUUGGUAGAUUCCAUGUGCAAGCAGGAAAAUGUACUAAGUAGUUGGUAAGCUAAAUAGGAUGAAAGACAUGCUGACCAGGCUGAAUAAGGCUAAGUUUAGUGAUAUUGAGCUAAGGGAGGAAGAUGGCCUCAAGGUCUUGGAGGAACUUCAAACCAAAUUACAUGCUGACCCUAAGAAUCCAAAGUUGAUUGAUCAAGAAAGAC
This 210-nucleotide long non-coding RNA is filed under the name Capsicum annuum. Its description in RNAcentral is "long non-coding RNA (CANN_LNC003382)". Lineage: Eukaryota; Viridiplantae; Streptophyta; Magnoliopsida; Solanales; Solanaceae. The record is from RNAcentral.